GUCAGCGGUGCAACGUGGCACCAGUGCUCUGGCGUAUCCCCGAGGAACUGAAGCUGUCUUAUUGCAAUGACUACUGACUGAUUGGUUUAUCCUCGGCGUCACCCAUUCUGGAAUUAUCCCAAGGAGUCUGAUACAGUAUACAAACGAAACGGUCUAGUGUGUUGCUACCGUCGACUACAACACAGCGGGCACAACUGCAAAUGCCCAAGUCAGUCAACGUAUAGGCUACCCCUUAGGCUUAGGGGGUAUCGCCGUCAGUACACCUCGCUCCUAACUCUUACUAUCUACUUCAAUAAUAAAUAAACCUUUCACUCGUUUAUUUCCCAGUUCUUCUACGAUUACCUCCCCAUUUGCCCCAUCAAGGGCUUCCUUUAGGUCUACAGAAGCCCUACAUCUGCUCUUGUUAUUGUUUAUAGUACUACUUUAACUACUUUAUUAACACAAUCCGUUGUAGUUCCAUUUUUUUCAUAGAACCAAACAAAUUAUCCGAUAGCUGUCCUACAAUUUAAAACUAAUUCUUUCCAUUAAUUUGCAAAAGCACGAUGUCAGCUAUAGGCCGAUGCUCAACAUUACUUGGUAGGAACUGUAAUCAUUGAAGCUAUGCUCCACUUUACAGGUAAUCUGCCAUUCGCAUAGGACUAACUAAUCAAAUCGAAUAGACCAUCAACCAUUGCAAUCAAACAAUUAUGUUACUCCAUCCAUCCCUGGGGCAGUAGACUUAGCUCGCUUGAUAGCACACAACAAUUCAUUUUUUUGUAACUACUCUUGCAUUAUUUACCUCAUUCCAUACACCACCUAGAGAUUUUACAGAAAUAUCUUAAACCCCAGUCAUUCUCUCUUGCUACUGCUCCUGUUUCUAACGUUCCUCCAGCUAUUUGGGUCAUAGUUUCCCACAGUUACCUUACUAGACCGCAUCUUUUCACUCUUGAGCCGAACCUACUACAUUAGCUCUGCUGGCGCCAUCCAUUACCGUUAUGUGCCGUUUCCAUGUACCCGAGGUUUCCAAUUCUUCCUUUUUCUGCUUACUCGUAACUUCAAAGCCUUCAAAUGCGUCAAUACUAUAAUCCCUGACACCCUUGGCGUUAUUUGAAGCCGUUCGAAAAGUAUCAUCUCUCAGAAGCUCACUUGCCUCGUCAAACCAAGCUUACAAAGCCAUCAAUCCCACAUUGGGUAGUUGUUUUCGUGUGUUCUCGUUCGGGUUUAAUGUUAAACGGGUAAGCAUGUCUUUAAAAAAAAUAAGGAAAACUGAAUUUGAGAGUAAGUUGGCGCUGUAUUAUAAAACAAUUUCGGGAGUUCACUGACAGUACGUCAUAUUUUAAGUUUCUGUUGUACACGGUGACAACCUAGAUGUUGCAACGCCAGUUUUAAUACACAAUCAUUUUUGUUGUACUCUUACAUACCUGUGGCAUCGUUGUAGGCAACUCGAUGAAUUUCUAAACAUAGCUUUACAAGCCUGUAGGCCGCCAGGCUGGGAAAAAUUGAAUUAGGCCAAGUAAACUGCUGUAAAAGGUCGGAUAUCUGCAUCGGUGAGUGACCAGGAAAUUUUUUUCAGGGAGAAGUACUAGACUCUGAAGUAAUGUUUUUUCACCGGUCACAGGAUUUUCGAAAUAAUGGGUAAAUUCUCAAAAUGAAAAAAUGUUACUGUAAUCAAUAUAGUAGUCACUGUUAUUUAGGAUAUGUAUAUAUCAUCUUGCAAUAAUCAAUAAAAUUAGGAUGUCACGAUAAAGAGUUUAGUUCUUGAGAAUAUAGUGAACGAAUUGGUAGGGGUUGGUUAAUACUUUAUCGAAUAACGGCAAAUCUCUCUCUCUCUC
This is a long non-coding RNA of Macrobrachium nipponense, 1811 nucleotides long. RefSeq lists it as uncharacterized. Lineage: Eukaryota; Metazoa; Arthropoda; Malacostraca; Decapoda; Palaemonidae. The transcript has 3 exons. The record is from RefSeq and is a predicted model, not a curated record.